Molecule: ribosomal RNA, 254 nt
Filed under: uncultured bacterium
Lineage: Bacteria
Description: partial 16S ribosomal RNA
Rfam family: Bacterial small subunit ribosomal RNA
Source: RNAcentral
UACGUAGGGUGCAAGCGUUAAUCGGAAUUACUGGGCGUAAAGCGUGCGCAGGCGGUGAUGUAAGACAGAUGUGAAAUCCCCGGGCUCAACCUGGGAACUGCAUUUGUGACUGCAUCGCUGGAGUGCGGCAGAGGGGGAUGGAAUUCCGCGUGUAGCAGUGAAAUGCGUAGAUAUGCGGAGGAACACCGAUGGCGAAGGCAAUCCCCUGGGCCUGCACUGACGCUCAUGCACGAAAAGCGUGGGGAGCAAACAGG